RNAcentral lists this unclassified non-coding RNA (675 nucleotides) under Hevea brasiliensis (rubber tree). Lineage: Eukaryota; Viridiplantae; Streptophyta; Magnoliopsida; Malpighiales; Euphorbiaceae. The record is from RNAcentral.
CGAGAAAUACUAACAGCAGUUGCUAACCAAGCCUAACUGAAAAUAAGCGCCUAACUGAAGAUAAGCGUGAGAACACUGUUAACAGGAAACUGCUCAUUAACAAAGAACCCAUUAACCAGAUCUAGAUUCCAUACUACACGUCCAGAAGAGAUCCAAAGCCCAGCCCAAGGAAAAAUAGAAUAUAUCUAACAAACAAGACCCAUAAUUCCACACGCAACUAGAGACACAGGUCAACAAACAACUCAAGCUUCCUCAUCAGCAGCCGCCGACUUUGACGAACCAGCCUUCUUGGGCAGAAGAAGGUUGUGGAUGUUCGGCAUCACCCCACCAUUAGCAAUAGUCACCAUCCCCAGCAACUUCGAAAGCUCCUCAUCAUUCCUCACAGCAAGCUGAAUAUGCCUCGGUACAAUCCUAGUCUUCUUGUUAUCCCUCGCCGCAUUCCCAGCCAACUCCAAAACCUCGGCUGCGAGAUACUCCAGGACGGCAGCGAGAUAGACCGGAGCGCCGGCGCCGACCCUCUCGGCGUACUUGCCGGCCUUGAGGAAGCGGGCGAUACGGCCGACCGGGAACUGGAGACCGGCCUUGCUGCUCCUCGAGGUCGCCUUCUUCGCCGCUGCGGAGCCGACCGCCUUGCCUCGUCCGGCCAUUGCUGAGAGCGAGAGACGAUGAUUGAGG